Molecule: ribosomal RNA, 253 nt
Filed under: uncultured bacterium
Lineage: Bacteria
Description: partial 16S ribosomal RNA
Rfam family: Bacterial small subunit ribosomal RNA
Source: RNAcentral
UACGUAGGUGGCAAGCGUUGUCCGGAUCUACUGGGUGUAAAGGGCGUGUAGCCGGGCUGACAAGUCAGAUGUGAAAUCCGGGGGCUCAACCCCCGAACUGCAUUUGAAACUGUUGGUCUUGAGUAUCGGAGAGGCAGGCGGAAUUCCUAGUGUAGCGGUGAAAUGCGUAGAUAUUAGGAAGAACACCAGUGGCGAAGGCGGAUGACUGGACGGCAACUGACGGUGAGGCGCGAAAGCGUGGGGAGCAAACAGG